RNAcentral lists this ribosomal RNA (253 nucleotides) under uncultured bacterium. Its description in RNAcentral is "partial 16S ribosomal RNA". It matches the Rfam family "Bacterial small subunit ribosomal RNA", at positions 524 to 776 of the family's 1533-position model. The record is from RNAcentral.
UACGUAGGGUGCAAGCGUUGUCCGGAAUUAUUGGGCGUAAAGAGCUCGUAGGCGGCUUGUCGCGUCGGCUGUGAAAACCUGGGGCUCAACCCCGGGCCUGCAGCCGAUACGGGCAAGCUAGAAUUCGGUAGGGGAGACUGGAAUUCCUGGUGUAGCGGUGAAAUGCGCAGAUAUCAGGAGGAACACCGGUGGCGAAGGCGGGUCUCUGGGCCGAUAUUGACGCUGAGGAGCGGAAGCGUGGGGAGCGAACAGG